AAAACAAAAGUAAACUUUACAAUCAACUUCGACUUGACCUUUGGAUUAUCCUUGUUUUG
This 59-nucleotide transfer RNA is filed under the name Jesogammarus hinumensis. Its description in RNAcentral is "tRNA-Arg". Lineage: Eukaryota; Metazoa; Arthropoda; Malacostraca; Amphipoda; Anisogammaridae. The record is from RNAcentral.